AGCAGUCGCCACGGUAAUACGUAGGGUGCAAGCGUUAAUCGGAAUUACUGGGCGUAAAGCGUGCGCAGGCGGUUUUGUAAGACAGAGGUGAAAUCCCCGGGCUCAACCUGGGAACUGCCUUUGUGACUGCAAGGCUAGAGUACGGCAGAGGGGGAUGGAAUUCCGCGUGUAGCAGUGAAAUGCGUAGAUAUGCGGAGGAACACCGAUGGCGAAGGCAAUCCCCUGGGCCUGUACUGACGCUCAUGCACGAAAGCGUGGGGAGCAAACAGGAUUAGAUACCCGGGUAGUCCCUGUCUCUUAUAC
This 303-nucleotide ribosomal RNA is filed under the name uncultured bacterium. RNAcentral describes it as "partial 16S ribosomal RNA". It matches the Rfam family "Bacterial small subunit ribosomal RNA", at positions 507 to 807 of the family's 1533-position model. The record is from RNAcentral.